Molecule: long non-coding RNA, 335 nt
Organism: Heterocephalus glaber (naked mole-rat)
Lineage: Eukaryota; Metazoa; Chordata; Mammalia; Rodentia; Bathyergidae
Source: Ensembl
CCUGGAGAAGCAGCUGUGGAAGUGACCCAGCGGAUUGCCAGAAUACACAGCAGGUGCUGCUUUGUGUGGCUUAAGGAUGGCUGGACCACGGCCUGCAGUUGCCCCAAAGCCUUGGCCUGUAGGAGAGAGCAGUGAUGGAUAUCUAAAUUCUUAACCAACACCACGGGACCACAAAGACUGGGAAACAGGCCUGUGUAGGAUCUGAAGGGAGAGGAGGUGAGUGCAGGUGAGUGAGGUCCUUCUGCUCUAUUUCAAUGACAUUACGACCAGAUUUCUUACAGUGCCCAGCAGUUCCUGCAUGGCCUUUCCCUGUCCAUGCUGCAGGCUCUCUCCGG